Molecule: ribosomal RNA, 240 nt
Filed under: uncultured bacterium
Lineage: Bacteria
Description: partial 16S ribosomal RNA
Rfam family: Bacterial small subunit ribosomal RNA
Source: RNAcentral
UACGUAUGGUGCAAGCGUUAUCCGGAUUUACUGGGUGUAAAGGGAGCGCAGGCGGCGCGCUAAGUCUGAUGUGAAAGCCCGGGGCUCAACUCCGGGACUGCAUUGGAAACUGGCGGGCUGGAGUGCCGGAGAGGUAAGCGGAAUUCCUAGUGUAGCGGUGAAAUGCGUAGAUAUUAGGAGGAACACCAGUGGCGAAGGCGGCUUACUGGACGGUGACUGACGCUGAGGCUCGAAAGCGUG